AGUUUGAUCCUGGCUCAGGAUGAACGCUAGCUACAGGCUUAACACAUGCAAGUCGAGGGGAAACGACAUCGAAAGCUUGCUUUCGAUGGGCGUCGACCGGCGCACGGGUGAGUAACGCGUAUCCAACCUGCCCAUCACUUGGGGAUAACCUUGCGAAAGUAAGACUAAUACCCAAUGACGUCUCUAGAAGACAUCUGAAGGAGAUUAAAGAUUUAUCGGUGAUGGAUGGGGAUGCGUCUGAUUAGCUUGUUGGCGGGGUAACGGCCCACCAAGGCGACGAUCAGUAGGGGUUCUGAGAGGAAGGUCCCCCACAUUGGAACUGAGACACGGUCCAAACUCCUACGGGAGGCAGCAGUGAGGAAUAUUGGUCAAUGGGCGAGAGCCUGAACCAGCCAAGUAGCGUGCAGGAUGACGGCCCUAUGGGUUGUAAACUGCUUUUAUAAGGGAAUAAAGUGAGCCUCGUGAGGCUUUUUGCAUGUACCUUAUGAAUAAGGACCGGCUAAUUCCGUGCCAGCAGCCGCGGUAAUACGGAAGGUCCGGGCGUUAUCCGGAUUUAUUGGGUUUAAAGGGAGCGUAGGCCGGAGAUUAAGCGUGUUGUGAAAUGUAGACGCUCAACGUCUGCACUGCAGCGCGAACUGGUUUCCUUGAGUACGCACAAAGUGGGCGGAAUUCGUGGUGUAGCGGUGAAAUGCUUAGAUAUCACGAAGAACUCCGAUUGCGAAGGCAGCUCACUGGAGCGCAACUGACGCUGAAGCUCGAAAGUGCGGGUAUCGAACAGGAUUAGAUACCCUGGUAGUCCGCACGGUAAACGAUGGAUGCCCGCUGUUGGUCUGAAUAGGUCAGCGGCCAAGCGAAAGCAUUAAGCAUCCCACCUGGGGAGUACGCCGGCAACGGUGAAACUCAAAGGAAUUGACGGAAGG
This 920-nucleotide ribosomal RNA is filed under the name uncultured bacterium. Its description in RNAcentral is "bacterial SSU rRNA". It matches the Rfam family "Bacterial small subunit ribosomal RNA", at positions 10 to 920 of the family's 1533-position model. The record is from RNAcentral.